GAUGAAGAACGUAGCGAAAUGCGAUACGUAAUGUGAAUUGCAGAUUUCAGUGAAUCAUCGAAUCUUUGAACGCACAUUGCGCCCGCCAGUAUUCUGGCGGGCAUGCCUGUUCGAGCGUCAUUUCAACCAUCAAGCGCCUCGCUUGUGUUGGGGCCCUGCGGCUGCCGCAGGCCCCUAAAUCCAGUGGCGGGCUCGUCGUCGUACCGAGUGCAGUAAACAUCCUCGCUCAGGGAACCCGACGGGUGCCGGCCGUGAAACCCCCCCUCCUCAAGGUUGACCUCGGAUCAGGUAGGAAUACCCGCUGAACUUAAGCAUAUCAAAAGCGGAGGA
This 330-nucleotide unclassified non-coding RNA is filed under the name soil metagenome. Its description in RNAcentral is "partial contains 5.8S ribosomal RNA, internal transcribed spacer 2, and large subunit ribosomal RNA". The stretch from base 1 to 120 matches the Rfam family "5.8S ribosomal RNA", at positions 35 to 154 of the family's 154-position model. The record is from RNAcentral.